Molecule: transfer RNA, 73 nt
Filed under: Porphyromonas circumdentaria
Lineage: Bacteria; Pseudomonadati; Bacteroidota; Bacteroidia; Bacteroidales; Porphyromonadaceae
Also listed under: 2 other names
Description: tRNA_Thr_CGT
Rfam family: tRNA
About the family: Transfer RNA (tRNA) molecules are approximately 80 nucleotides in length. Their secondary structure includes four short double-helical elements and three loops (D, anti-codon, and T loops).
Source: RNAcentral
GCCGAAAUAGCUCAGUUGGUAGAGCAACUCAUUCGUAAUGAGUAGGUCGCCGGUUCGAGUCCGGCUCUCGGCU